Molecule: long non-coding RNA, 242 nt
Organism: Carcharodon carcharias (great white shark)
Lineage: Eukaryota; Metazoa; Chordata; Chondrichthyes; Lamniformes; Lamnidae
Exons: 3
Source: RefSeq, a predicted model, not a curated record
GUUCCUCCCCAGGCGAGCAGUCGGACAGGUCCUGGCUUGAGAGUGAGAAGUGGAUGGAAUAUCUGGGAGUGGACAAUGAUCGGGAAAUCUUACUUCCUCCUGUCACUUCUCCAAGUUGGACUGUCACAAGAGUGGAAAGGUGACACUCCACGAGAGGUGACAGCGCAGGAAGGUUCGUGUGUACAGAUUCCAUGUAAUUACAGUUAUCCAGCACAUUUAGUAGGGAGAGCACGUGUCGGAAU